This 253-nucleotide ribosomal RNA is filed under the name uncultured bacterium. RNAcentral describes it as "partial 16S ribosomal RNA". It matches the Rfam family "Bacterial small subunit ribosomal RNA", at positions 524 to 776 of the family's 1533-position model. The record is from RNAcentral.
UACGUAGGGGGCAAGCGUUGCCCGGAUUUAUUGGGCGUAAAGAGCGUGUAGGCGGCCUGACAGGUCUGCUGUGAAAACUCGAGGCUCAACCUCGAGAUGUCGGCGGAAACCGUCUGGCUAGAGUCCGGAAGAGGAGAGUGGAAUUCCUGGUGUAGCGGUGAAAUGCGCAGAUAUCAGGAAGAACACCUAUGGCGAAGGCAGCUCUCUGGGACGGUACUGACGCUGAGACGCGAAAGCGUGGGGAGCGAACAGG